CUACGUGCCAGCAGCCGCGGUAAUACGGAGGGUGCGAGCGUUAAUCGGAAUAACUGGGCGUAAAGGGCACGCAGGCGGUGACUUAAGUGAGGUGUGAAAGCCCCGGGCUUAACCUGGGAAUUGCAUUUCAUACUGGGUCGCUAGAGUACUUUAGGGAGGGGUAGAAUUCCACGUGUAGCGGUGAAAUGCGUAGAGAUGUGGAGGAAUACCGAAGGCGAAGGCAGCCCCUUGGGAAUGUACUGACGCUCAUGUGCGAAAGCGUGGGGAGCAAACAGGAUUAGAUACCCUGGUAGUCCACGCUGUAAACGAUGUCGAUUUGGGGGUUGAGCUUUGAGCUUGGCGCCCGUAGCUAACGUGAUAAAUUGACCGCCUGGGGAGUACGGCCGCAAGGUUAAAACUCAAAUGAAUUGACGGGGGCCCGCACAAGCGGUGGAGCAUGUGGUUUAAUUCGAUGCAACGCGAAGAACCUUACCUACUCU
Molecule: ribosomal RNA, 479 nt
Filed under: uncultured bacterium
Lineage: Bacteria
Description: bacterial SSU rRNA
Rfam family: Bacterial small subunit ribosomal RNA
Source: RNAcentral